AAUGAACGCUGGCGGCGUGGAUAAGGCAUGCAAGUCGCACGAGAAAUUAAACUUCGGUUUGAGAUUAAAGUGGCGAAAGGGUGAGGAGUACUUGAACAACCUACCCUUGAGUGGGGCAUAGCCCAUCGAAAGGUGGAUUAAUACCGCGUACGAUUCGGUUGGGGCAUCCCGGCCGAAUGAAAGCAGGGGAUCUUCGGACCUUGCGCUCAAGGAUGUGAUUGCGGCCUAUCAGUUUGUUGGUGGGGUAACGGCCUACCAAGGCGAUGACGGGUAGCAGGCCUGAGAGGGUGGUCUGUCACACUGGGACUGAGACACUGCCCAGACUCCUACGGGAGGCUGCAGUCGAGAAUCUUCCGCAAUGGGCGAAAGCCUGACGGAGCGACGCCGCGUGGAGGACGAAGGCCUUCGGGUUGUAAACUCCUGUCACGGGUCAUGAAUGUGCGUGUUAAUAGCGCGUGCAUUGACGUAAGCCCGAGAGGAAGCACCGGCUAACUCCGUGCCAGCAGCCGCGGCAAUACGGAGGGUGCGAACGUUGUUCGGAAUUACUGGGCAUAAAGAGCUCGUAGGCGGCUGUGCAAGUGUGGAGUGAAAUCCCACGGCUUACCCGUGGAACUGCUUCGCAGACGGUCGUGCUAGACAACAUCAGGGGAAGGUGGAACUCGCGGUGGAGCGGUGAAAUGCGUAGAUAUCGCGAGGAACGCCGGUGGCGAAAGCGACCUUCUGGGGUGUUUGUGACGCUGAGGCGCGAAAGCUAGGGGAGCGAACGGGAUUAGAUACCCCGGUAGUCCUAGCCCUAAACGAUGUGCACUAGGUAGUGGGACGUUUUGACGCCCCGCUGCCGGAGCAAAAGUUUUAAGUGCACCGCCUGGGGACUACGGUCGCAAGACUAAAACUCAAAGGAAUUGACGGGGGCUCACACAAGCGGUGGAGGAUGUUGCUUAAUUCGAAGCAACGCGAAGAACCUUACCCGGGUUUGACAUGCUUGAAGUAGAACCCUGAAAGGGGAACCACCGGUAUCCAAUCCGGAACUUGCACAGGUGUUGCAUGGCUGUCGUCAGCUCGUGUCGUGAGAUGUUGGGUUAAGUCCCGUAACGAGCGAAACCCUUGUCAUUAGUUGCCAGCGGGUCAUGCCGGGGACUCUAGUGAGACUGCCGGUGUUAAACCGGAGGAAGGCGGGGACGACGUCAAGUCAUCAUGGCCCUUAUGCCCGGGGCGUCACACGUACUACAAUGGCAGGUACAAAGGGAAGCAAGACCGUAAGGUGGAGCAAAUCCCACAAAGCCUGCCCCAGUUCGGAUCGAGGGCUGAAAUUCGCCCUCGUGAAGUCGGAAUCGCUAGUAAUCGCGGAUCAGCCAUGCCGCGGUGAAUGUGUUCCCGAGCCUUGUACACACCGCCCGUCAAGCCACGGAAGCU
RNAcentral lists this ribosomal RNA (1413 nucleotides) under uncultured prokaryote. RNAcentral describes it as "partial 16S ribosomal RNA". It matches the Rfam family "Bacterial small subunit ribosomal RNA". The record is from RNAcentral.